GACAGAGGGUGCAAACGUUGUUCGGAAUUACUGGGCGUAAAGCGCGUGUAGGCGGUGCGGUAAGUCGGGUGUGAAAGCCCUGGGCUCAACCCAGGAAGUGCAUUCGAUACUACCGUACUAGAGUCCCGGAGAGGUUGGUGGAACUCUCGGUGUAGAGGUGAAAUUCGUAGAUAUCGAGAAGAACACCGGUGGCGAAGGCGGCCAACUGGACGGUGACUGACGCUGAGACACGAAAGCGUGGGUAGCAAACAGG
This 253-nucleotide ribosomal RNA is filed under the name uncultured bacterium. RNAcentral describes it as "partial 16S ribosomal RNA". It matches the Rfam family "Bacterial small subunit ribosomal RNA", at positions 524 to 776 of the family's 1533-position model. The record is from RNAcentral.